This 253-nucleotide ribosomal RNA is filed under the name uncultured bacterium. RNAcentral's name for it is "partial 16S ribosomal RNA". It matches the Rfam family "Bacterial small subunit ribosomal RNA", at positions 524 to 776 of the family's 1533-position model. The record is from RNAcentral.
UACAGAGGUCCCGAGCGUUGUUCGGAUUCACUGGGCGUAAAGGGUGCGUAGGCGGUCGGGUAAGUCUGAUGUGAAAUCUCACAGCUUAACUGUGAAACUGCAUUGGAUACUAUUCGGCUUGAGAGUUGGAGGGGGGACUGGAAUUCUUGGUGUAGCAGUGAAAUGCGUAGAUAUCAAGAGGAACACCAGUGGCGAAGGCGAGUCCCUGGACAGUAACUGACGCUGAGGAGCGAAAGCGUGGGGAGCGAACAGG